GUCUUCACCUCAUCAGCAUUUAUAUAAAAUUGGAACUAUACAAGGAAGAUUAGCAUGGCCCCUGUUCCAGGAUGACAUGCAAAUUCGUGAAGCAUUUUGUAUUUGA
Molecule: small nuclear RNA, 106 nt
Organism: Ictidomys tridecemlineatus (thirteen-lined ground squirrel)
Lineage: Eukaryota; Metazoa; Chordata; Mammalia; Rodentia; Sciuridae
Source: Ensembl